AAGUUGAUGCAGCGACGCCGCGUGAGGGAUGACGGCCUUCGGGUUGUAAACCUCUUUCAGCAGGGAAGAAGCCACAAGUGACGGUACCUGCAGAAGAAGCGCCGGCUAACUACGUGCCAGCAGCCGCGGUAAUACGUAGGGCGCAAGCGUUGUCCGGAAUUAUUGGGCGUAAAGAGCUCGUAGGCGGUUUGUCGCGUCUGCUGUGAAAGCCCGGGGCUUAACCCCGGGUGUGCAGUGGGUACGGGCAGACUAGAGUGCAGUAGGGGAGACUGGAAUUCCUGGUGUAGCGGUGGAAUGCGCAGAUAUCAGGAGGAACACCGAUGGCGAAGGCAGGUCUCUGGGCUGUUACUGACGCUGAGGAGCGAAAGCAUGGGGAGCGAACAGGAUUAGAUACCCUGGUAGUCCAUGCCGUAAACGUUGGGCACUAGGUGUGGGGGACAUUCCACGUUUUCCGCGCCGUAGCUAACGCAUUAAGUGCCCCGCCUGGGGAGUACGGCCGCAAGGCUAAAACUCAAAGGAAUUGACGGGGGCCCGCACAAGCGGCGGAGCAUGCGGAUUAAUUCGAUGCAACGCGAAGAACCUUACCAAGGCUUGACAUAUACCGGAUCGUCCAGAGA
Molecule: ribosomal RNA, 617 nt
Filed under: Kocuria sp.
Lineage: Bacteria; Bacillati; Actinomycetota; Actinomycetes; Micrococcales; Micrococcaceae
Description: bacterial SSU rRNA
Rfam family: Bacterial small subunit ribosomal RNA
Source: RNAcentral